Long non-coding RNA from Oncorhynchus masou masou (cherry salmon), 7423 nucleotides. RefSeq lists it as uncharacterized. The transcript is spliced from 4 exons. The record is from RefSeq and is a predicted model, not a curated record. NCBI's taxonomy places the organism in Eukaryota, Metazoa, Chordata, Actinopteri, Salmoniformes, Salmonidae.
CUGACAAGGUAAAAAUCUGUUGUUCUGCCCCUGAACAAGGCAGCACUGUUCCUAGGCUGUCAUUGAAAAAAAAAACAUUCUUAACUGACUUGCCUAAUUAAAUAAAAGUAAAAAAAAAAAACAAUGAUGGUACAGAAUUACAGUAAAAUACUUUUUCUUUCUUUACGCCAAGCACACAAGGCUACGAAACACAAGUGAUGGGGAAGAUAAAUUGUAACCUUAGAGUGUGUGUUUACCUUUUUUGAGUGUAUGACGUGUGUGCAGGUACUGGCAGCUGAGGACCAGCGUGAACAGGAAGAUGGAGAGCAGUCCCAAGGAGCAGAGGAGCACUGCACACAGGACGAAGAUGGGCUGAGUAAAGACAUAUGAGAAAACUCUACCUCCAAAUAGACGCCACACUCCCUCAUCGCUCCUGUCCAGUGGGAUGUAUACUGACAUAAAAAGACAACAUUGGAUACACAGACAGACUCCCUCAGUGGUUCACAGAAAUACACUGAAAUACACCCAGGCCCAGACCGCCAUCAGACUGAGGCAGAGAGUGAUGACUGCAGGGUAUUCCAAACCCACACAACCCCACAAACAGGGCUGGCUGGAGAGGAGGGGGUUCCCCCAUCUACAAAUCUACUGAGUUGUGCGGGUGUGCACAGUAUGAAUGUGUGUGGAUAUGAGUGUGCCAGAUAAGGCUUUCAGUAUGUGCCAAGGGCAUUUAGGAGAACAGAGGAGAGGAGUGAGAUUGAGGAGAGAUGGAGGAUAGACAAAGGAGAGGAGAGAUGAGAGGUGUUCUACAUACUUAGCCUCUGAACCUGUAAAUGAGAUUUUAAUAUGCCUCUUUAAAACAGGGAGUGAUACAACAUUAAUACUGACUCACUUCAGUUAACCUGAGAUGGCUUUCUUUUCUUACCACCCAUACAGCAUAUCUGCUCCAGGUACAUUGAGAUAAUGCUGUCAUGUUUACAUUUUUACCUAAAUAUUGACAUUUACAUUAUCUUAGUAAUAGUUAGUGAUAUACUGUAGAGAUAGAGCGCAUACAGCUAAUUGUAUUUGUCUGAACAGAGGCUAACCUUGCUGAUAACUGAAGUGAUACGGAGGGCUGGAGUUCCAAGAAAGAUGAGGUACAGGCUUGUUAGUGAGGGGCUCACACACACACAGACACACACACAGUACUAAAUAUUUAUGUUUGAACAUCUUGAAGAACGAUCUGGCCUUAAUGGUCAUGUACUCUUAUAAUUUCCACCCAGCAUAGCCAGAUAUUUGGACACAGCCAUGGUUUCAUCUGUUUCUACUAGUCCUUUAGCUUCUAUAUCAGACAGAUGUGCAUUGAGAAUAUAAAAGCAUUUCUGAGGCCAGAUGUUCAACCUUAUAUACUGGUUGCUGUAGUCAAAAGGCAGUUGAGCAAUUGUAUGUUUAUUUAUUUUACCUUUAUUUAACUAGGCAAGAACAAAUUCUUAUUUUCAAUUACAGCAUAGGAACGAGUGGGUUAACUGCCUGUUCAGGGGCAGAACAACAGAUUUGGACUUGCAACCUUUCGGUUACAAGUUCACCACUCUAACCACUAGGGUACCCUGCCGCCCCAAUGUAUGUAGCAGUACUUAUGAUGUCAUAUAAACAUACUGUAUGAAAGAUUAUGUUCAUGUCUAUGAACAGCACUGACUGUUCUCAUCAACGUAGUUGAAAAGAGCAGAAGUCAGCAUUUGGCUGCAGACAGUGGUCUGGGGUGAGUGUGUGGGCGAGAGUUGGCCAUAUCUCUGCUUGAUACAGCAUCUCUACUUUGACUGGUUUGGGUUAGGGUUAAGUGUGUGGGCGAGAGUUGGCUAUCUGGUAUAGCAUAUUUGUUCCGAGGUGAGUAAGUGGGCUGUCUCAGCAGGGCGUAGUCUUUGUUUUCUGACUGAAAGGGACUGAGUUGAACAGACACUUCAUGUCUCGCCUCUCGUUCUCUUCUCUCCCCCCUCUCUCUCCCCCCUCUCUCUAUCUUCCUUCAGACUGUCUUACGCGUGUUUUUGUGCAGUAAUUCAUUUCUGAGAUUUCAAAGGUUACAAAGUUGCCAAUGUAUUUACAAUUGAUAAUUAACAAGCGACAUAUAAAAAUAUGCUUUAAAUGAAAACAGAAAUGGCCGCAUUAAAAAAGAAGCAGUGGACUAUUAUAAUCAAUUUAGUUAUAUUUUGCUAUUAGUAGGCUACUGUCUGUAUUUGCCUCAAUAUAUUUUAAGAUGUGUAACCUAACAUGUGUGCAACGAUGUGCCAAAUCUGUGAUUUUGUGCAUUUUCAUAGGGUAAGCAUUAUAAUAAGGCGCCUCAAUAUUUGCAGCCGUAGGUAGUAAUAUCUCUGUAGGAGCUGAUCCGUUGUCAGUAUUGUGUAAUAAUUAUAAUGUUAAGGAAAGAUUUGAAUGGAGAAAGCUGAUCCAUGAGCAGCACUCCCUUUCUUUGAUCCUACUCUAUCAUUAUUGUUCCAUCACUAUCAGGAACCUGGCCCGGGGCAUUUUUUCAUGCCACGACCCACUCAUCCUGCUGUGUUGAGAAUCCGGGGUCGUAUUCAUUGAGCAUUAAACAGAGAAAAACAACCUUACUGAAACAGGGGGGGGUACCUAGAGUUGUCCUCCAAUAAGAAUAAUUUUCCAUUGCAAAAUAGUUUUAUUAGUCGUACAGGAUGCACAUGGUAUACACUGUCCAGCUAAAUGCUUACUUGCAGGUUCCUACUUGACAAUGCAACAGCAAUUAGAAAAAAUAAAAUAUAAGAAUAAGAACAUAAAGUAAAUGGCUCAGUAAAAUAGAAUAAACAUUUUAGCAUAAGUAUAAUACAGGAAGGCAGAAGUUAUAGUCCAAUAUCUACACAUGUUUUGCGGACGGGGGGAUUAGGGGACAAGUGUUUCAAUUAUGCAGUAUUUAGCAAUAAUAAUAAUUUUAAUGUUUGUCGUAAUGAAUAUAACCCCAGUCUAAAUGAGUUUUCCUGGCGAUCCUGGACCCAAGUACAAAAACAGGCUAGUUAGCUGAUGUCUGGUAUAAUUUAUUUGCUAAAGACAAGUGAAAGCUAAAUUAUAGAGUGAUGGAAACCCAGGAAUUCACUGUAAUUCACAAGGAAACACUGAAUGGAUGGAAGAAAUGAGCCUGUCUCUCUGUGAGUCGAGCUGACCCCAGUAUGCUUCUGUCAUGAUGUUGGCCUGGGGGGUUAGGUUUAUGAUGAUGAUUUCGAGCCAGCUGGCUCUAUGAAUGAGCAACUUCCCUCCUCCUUGCAGUCGUGCAAUACGGUAGUUGAGAUGAACUUCUCUUGCCCUUCGGACACUUCCGCAAACACUGCGGUCAUCCCAGCAAGAAAAACGUUGAUGCGCAGAGUAUACUCUGCUUCCGAUGAUACACCUUCCGCUUUGUGGGGGACUAUCAACCCUUACAAUGAGACUAAUGGCGUCAGUCCAGCAACUGACCCGAUGACUCCCACUGGUGAAACACUUUGCGAUAUCACAGACGGAUAUCCUCGUCUCAGUUCGCAGUUACUGAAGAGGUUGCCACACGCAGACGCGGUGGUGACUGACAGACCUCGACAACCACAGGGUGUUGAAGCACAAACACCAGGAAAUUUGGUUGAAAGGUUACAGCCACUCUCAUAAUAACACGGUCACUGACAACUCGUACAUAGGGUCCGAACAUUUUGUUUGCGCCUCAGAUACCAACACCACCCACUAGUGGGGGAAUCCCGAGACACAAAGGGGGGGAAUAGUAGCCCAGACCCAUGGCGAGCCUUAUCGAGGCCGGUGGGGGGGUCGAGACUAUGGACAACACCGUACGAGGCCGCCAGAGCAUAAAUCAAAUCUAGUUGUAAACUCCCCUUUGAGAACAGUGAGGAGCAGACAGGCCCCUAGACGGGGAUUAUCUUAGAACACAUCUAAGAUAGUACUGAGGUGUACCACACUGGUCAUAAAGGAAGUCCAAUGGCCUUGUCCACCUCCAAAAUAAAUGGCAACAAUAAUCAUUCCUUGCCAUGUGUAGUAGUCACUACAAGACAACUAGUAAAAUGCUCUAAUCAUGUAUUCCUUGUAGGAUAACAUUUCAGAAUAAAUUGGUAGGAAAACUGGACCCCUUGAGUACCAGUACCAAUACCACAGUCAGUCCAGCAACACUCAGUAAGAGGAUUAGUAACCUCACAAGAUAAAUAGUUUUUUAUAACAGCGACAUAGGAGUCACUCAGAGUGCAGCACGGGGAAGGGAAUCUCCAUUGCACUCUUCCAAUGGUUACACACGCCACUAAUAAAUAGAACCCUCCAUUCAGGAUUAAAGUUAUUAGAAGUCAUAAACCACGAUCACACCACGUACGACUGGUCUAAUACUUAGAGUACUUCCGUCAUGAGGUUAGCUCCUCCGUGGAUAACAUAGCUAUGAAGUAUACUUCUUCAUACCUACAAUAGUGGAAGACAGUGAGUGGUAGUAAAACCACUACAGACGACACCAAUUCUGACUGACCUUCAGGCAUUGACUUGAAAAUGACCUGACUACGUCAGACUCAUUCUGGACAAGUUGUAAUCUGUCAGGAUACUUGGUUUCCUUCCCUUGACAUGCUUGCUUUGGUAAGCAUAAACGCAGAUCCAUAACGGAACAUCCAAUUAGGAUUUAUGCUAGGAUCACUUAAGGGUCCAAGCAAAAUACCAGCCUUAGUAAAGUUGAACAUUUAUUUUGAGGCUUUUAACUCUACAGCUACAGCACUCACCAGUGUUCUUCUCAGAAGUUCAUAGGUAAUCCCUGUAGACUGUCCAAAACUAGUGCCUUACAGCUGUAGACUUAUCAUAUAGUUAUCAACUUAGGAUAGUACCCUAAGCAACACCCCACAAAUUAGGAAAGCCCUAGAUAUGACAUUAGACAAUGCCAUGAUAGGGUCAUUUUGCCAAGACAUAGACGUAGAUAGAAUACAGUCCAAUUAGAUGAUUAAGGUGGCAUAACUAUAUUUUGUUUUGUUAAUGCUUUCACAAAAAAAACUAUUCAUUUUCUUCGACACGUAGAAAGUGAUAGAGCCAUAAACAACUUCCACAUACAACCAUCAGUUAGUGCCACAACGCCGCUCAUUUGGGAGGAAAUGUGAUGAUAUAUUUCAUGAGUGUGUGUACGUUGUUAACAUCUGCCGAAGUUACUGCCCAGAUGUUCCAUUCUGGAUGAGCAGACGACGGGUCCGGAACAGCGAUCCCAAUCCGGACAUCCGCUGCUCAGCCAUGGAGCGGACUUCUUCAUUUGCAGACACCCUACCCAGGUCGACCACACCAGAGGGGGGGACUACAGCAGCAAUCACCAACUGGUCGUCUGCUGUCCAGCAAUGGAGCGGACUUCUUAAUUUGUAGACACCCUACCCGGGUCGACCACCAGAUGGGGACCACAUCGAUGGUCCACAACCAGGACAACCCACGAUCAUUUUUGUGUUGGUUUGCAACAUGCAGGUUAAUCGCAAGAUUGAACCCAACAUAGUGGGACUGUCAUGACGUUGACCUGGGGGGUAGGUUUAUGACAGUCAUAAAUACCUCUUCCCCCCUUUUUCCUUUCUACCCUACUGAGGUUACAUUUGCAAUACCCUUGGUUAACAUAGAGAUUCUGGGAACGUCAGAAUGUGGGGGGAAAUGAACUAUAUUCGGGUAAUCCGAACAAUUGAACAUAUGCGGUGGUACUUAAUAAAUAUGAUGUCAGUUCGGUUGUCAUCUGAGACAUUCUCAUCAAUGAUAAGAUGACAUAAACUCUACAGUGGAAAGUCUACACAUCAGAGUUAUCAGAUUCAAAUGGAAUUGUGGUUCAAUUUAAAUGUUUAAAUAUUAAAUUAUUUGUGAUGGGAUGAAAUAUGAUUUUAGCUUCUAAAAUGUGAGUUGUAGGUUUUCAUAAGAUAUUGCUGCUCACUCAGUGGCCCGCCCAUGUGAAGAGACAGAGGUUGUAUUCUAUGACACACACCCCUUUUCUCCCUUCCUAUAUAAAGCCUUGACGACAACAUAACUUCCUGUUCCCAGGACACGAGGGUGACGGUCCUAUGUCAGAAUGGUUCAUAACUACAGAAAAAAGCCAACAUCAGCAUGAGCUUUGGGUUGCAAAUGUUAUGAACUUUUGAACUCUUAUUCACUACAGAAGUGAAACCUCCUAGCUGUUGGAUUAGCGACCGCAGCUGCAAACGCAGGUUAGGAAGGAACAGACAGAGUAUCCCGUCUGUCACACGAUGACGUUACUACAAUGUAUCCAAUUGACAACCAGAGACAUUCUUCAAAGGACAGAGGACUUGGUUUGGCAACACGGCCUUCCAUCUACCACCAACCUACUGAAGCACAGCUCAGAGCAAUCAACGCUGUGCGUUACAGGGAAGACAUCCUCUUCCCUCAUUUGGUACCCUUCCUGCAGGCUCAUCCUGACAUCACCCUCCAGCAUGACAAUGCCACCAACCAUACUGCUCGUUCUGUGCGUGAUUUCCUGCAAGACAGGAAUGUCAGUGUUCUGCCAUGGCCAGCAAAGAGCCCGGAUCUCAAUCCCCUUGAGCACGUCUAGGACCUGUUGGAUCGGAGGGUGUGGGCUAGGGCCAUUCCACCAGAAAUGUUUGGGAACUUGCAGGUGCCUUGGUGGAAGAGUGGGGUAACAUCUCACAGCAAGAAUGGGCAAAUCUGGUGCAGUCCAUGAGGAGGAGAUGCACUGCAGUACUUAAUGCAGCUGGUCUCCACACCAGAUACUGACUGGUACUUUUGAUUUUGAUCCCCCUUUGUUCAGGGACACAUUAUUCAAUUUCUCUUAGUCACAUGUCUGUGGAACUUGUUCAGUUUAUGUCUCAUUUGUUGAAUCUUGUUAUGUUCAUACAAAUAUUUACACAUGUUAAGUUUUCUGAAAAUAAACGCAGUUGACAGUGAGAGGACUUCUUUUUCUUUUUUCGCUGAGUUAAUAUGUAAAUGCGGGCCGCACACAUAACCUAGUUUCAGCGGAAUAACAUCAUGUGUCAUGCAGCAAAAGUGUGCAGUUGCAGGUUGUUGCAUAGAGCAACUCAGAGAAAAAUAACAGUAGCCGGUGGGGUAGGUAGGAAAGACGGUGGAACUUAUCAUAUUGACCAGUAAAUACAAACUAACUAACGCAACAACGGGUACGCAAACAGGUAUUGACUUUUUUUUAAAUAGGUAGAUUAACUUUUUUACUACAGAUAGAUUGUAUCUUCCAUCAAUGUAAUUGUCUGCAUAAUUUCCAAUUCCUCAUAUAUACAGUGGGGCAAAAAAGUAUUUAGUCAGCCACCAAUUGUGCAAGUUCUCCCACUUAAAAAGAUGAGAGAGGCCUGUAAUUUUCAUCAUAGGUACACUUCAACUAUGACAGAUGAAAUUAGAAAAAAACAACAGAAAAUCACAUUGUAGGAUUUUAUAUGAAUUUAUUUGCAAAUUAUGGUGGAAAAUAAGUAUUUGGUCAAUAACAAAAGUUUAUCUCAAUACUUUGUUAUAUACCCUU